RNAcentral lists this unclassified non-coding RNA (378 nucleotides) under plant metagenome. Its description in RNAcentral is "partial contains 5.8S ribosomal RNA, internal transcribed spacer 2, and large subunit ribosomal RNA". The stretch from base 1 to 105 matches the Rfam family "5.8S ribosomal RNA", at positions 50 to 154 of the family's 154-position model. The record is from RNAcentral.
GAAAUGCGAUAAGUAAUGUGAAUUGCAGAAUUCAGUGAAUCAUCGAAUCUUUGAACGCAGCUUGCGCUCCUUGGUAUUCCUUGGAGCAUGCCUGUUUGAGUAUCAUGAAAUCUUCAAAGUAAAUCUUUUGUUAACUCAAUUGGUUUCUACUUUGGUAUUGAAGGUCUUUGCAGCUUCACACCUGCUCCUCUUUGUUCAUUAGCUGGAUCUCAGUGUUAUGCUUGGUUCCACUCGGCGUGAUAAGUUAUCUAUCGCUGAGGACACUGUAAAAGGUGGCCAAGGUAAAUGCAGAUGAACCGCUUCUAAUAGUCCAUUGACUUGGACAAUACUUUUAUGAUCUGAUCUCAAAUCAGGUAGGACUACCCGCUGAACUUAAGC